RNAcentral lists this long non-coding RNA (742 nucleotides) under Chrysemys picta bellii (western painted turtle). Its description in RNAcentral is "lncRNA (ENSCPBG00000023265.1)". Lineage: Eukaryota; Metazoa; Chordata; Testudines; Emydidae. The record is from RNAcentral.
AUGUACAUGGCAGGCAUGCAGUGCUUGAAAAUCGAUCUCUCUUUGCCAUUGGGACAGAUCAGUACAGUUUGGAUCCAAACCAGAUCUAACCUCCUCAGGAAUUCAGGAUGUUGUUCAGAUGCAGAGUUCUGGUUCAGCCCACUAGAAAGGCUGGAGCAGGACACUGGCCCCUUACAGACCCCAGAUGUGGGGCUGUUUGGCUCCUCUGAGGUGGGGCAGGCCCAGCUCCACUUUUCAAGAUGGUAUAUAGGAGCUAUUGUGAAGGAUAAUAAUGUUGUCUCCACUUUUUUCUUAUUUCUCAGAGAGCCAAGGGGGCUGCUGCUGCCACUGCAGGGCCCUGAGAACCCAAGAACAGACAGACAGGCAGAACUGAGGAGCCAGCCCAGAAAUAUUCCAUGGAGCUGGGACCAUGCAUCCCUGUGGACUAUUAAAUUAGAAUUGAUUCCUGGCCUCUGAUGGAUUUUCAGUCAUUCUUCUCCAUUCAGCCAGGCAGGAAGGGGGAACAUAGACACUGCCCUCUUGUUACUCUUGGUCUCGGUGCUGGCAGCAGGGUCCCAAUCUCCCAGCAGAGAAGCAUCCAAGGAGCAGCCUGACACAGAGCUCCUAAAAUGCCCCAGCUCAUGUGCCUGCAGCUAUGAUGACUACAGCGAGGAACUCAACAUCUUCUGCAGCUCCCGGAACCUCACGCACCUCCCAGAAGACAUUCCCAGCAACGUUAAGUCAUUAUGGCUGGAUGGGAACA